RNAcentral lists this long non-coding RNA (473 nucleotides) under Triticum aestivum (bread wheat). Its description in RNAcentral is "long non-coding RNA (TAES_LNC020721)". The record is from RNAcentral. Lineage: Eukaryota; Viridiplantae; Streptophyta; Magnoliopsida; Poales; Poaceae.
AACUAAGAAAUAGGGAGAAAACACAAUACAUUUCGCUUCAUUCUUUUCAAGAUAACAGAUACAGUAUUAUUUACCCCACAUACAUACAAACAACAGAAAUACUUAAACAACACUGCAUCCUCCAGCAAAGCAAACUGGACAUCAUUAGGCUCACGGCAGAUUAAGCCAUGAAAAUCAGAAAGAGCAGCCCUUGUGUUCUUUCGCUAACUACAACAGAUAAUUUCCUCCGACUGGGCACUCUUCUUCGCUUUCUGAUUGAUUGCUCACAUGCAUGCUUUCAUAAUCUUUCCUUGGCUAACUGUAUGUUUCUAUAAGUUCAACGGCACAUAAAAGGGCAGGUCGUCUUAGUUUCCCCAAACAUUGUCCCAUGAGUUGUUGGCAGCUUUUGGUGCCUCAAAAAGCUGCUGGCCAGGUCCCUCGAAUGCAGGGGCCUCAGCGCCCUGAACGCGGCCUUUCUUUGACUUUGUUCGGAC